GACGAACGCUGGCGGCGUGCCUAAUACAUGCAAGUAGAACGCACAGUUUAUACCGUAGCUUGCUACACCAUAGACUGUGAGUUGCGAACGGGUGAGUAACGCGUAGGUAACCUGCCUGGUAGCGGGGGAUAACUAUUGGAAACGAUAGCUAAUACCGCAUAAUACUAAUUAUUGCAUGAUAAUUAAUUGAACGGUGCAAUUGCACCACUACCAGAUGGACCUGCGUUGUAUUAGCUAGUAGGUGAGGUAACGGCUCACCUAGGCGACGAUACAUAGCCGACCCGAGAGGGUGAUCGGCCACACUGGGACUGAGACACGGCCCAGACUCCUACGGGAGGCGGCAGUAGGGAAUCUUCGGCAAUGGACGAAAGUCUGACCGAGCAACGCCGCGUGAGUGAAGAAGGUUUUCGGAUCGUAAAGCUCUGUUGUAAGAGAAGAACGGGUGUGAGAGUGGAAAGUUCACACUGUGACGGUAUCUUACCAGAAAGGGACGGCUAACUACGUG
This 505-nucleotide ribosomal RNA is filed under the name uncultured bacterium. Its description in RNAcentral is "partial 16S ribosomal RNA". It matches the Rfam family "Bacterial small subunit ribosomal RNA", at positions 28 to 507 of the family's 1533-position model. The record is from RNAcentral.